UACGUAGGGUGCAAGCGUUGUCCGGAAUUAUUGGGCGUAAAGAGCUCGUAGGCGGUCUGUUACGUCCGCUGUGAAAACCCAGGGCUUAACCCUGGGCUUGCAGUGGAUACGGGUAGACUAGAGGCAGGUAGGGGAGAAUGGAAUUCCCGGUGUAGCGGUGAAAUGCGCAGAUAUCGGGAGGAACACCGGUGGCGAAGGCGGUUCUCUGGGCCGGACCUGACGCUGAGGAGCGAAAGCGUGGGGAGCGAACAGG
This 253-nucleotide ribosomal RNA is filed under the name uncultured bacterium. Its description in RNAcentral is "partial 16S ribosomal RNA". It matches the Rfam family "Bacterial small subunit ribosomal RNA", at positions 524 to 776 of the family's 1533-position model. The record is from RNAcentral.